GUCGGGGGCCAUCCUGCUCACCUGGGACGGUGGGUGGGACUCUCUCCGAGGGAGGCGAGGGCAGGGGGCUCUGGGGCUGAGGGCCUGAAAGCUUUGAUUGAUUCGCAAUCGGAGGCCCCCACCCUCCAGGCUGUGUGAGUGGGUGCCGGGCUCCCCUAUCCCCUCCUUCAUGCUUCUUAGUCACCACACACAGCCCCGUCCCUGGAAGAGCUCUUAGAAAUACUGAUGCGUGCUGGGCCCUCGCCCCACAGCGAUCGCAGCAGGACUUCUGGGGGUGAUGGGCAGGGACGGAUGGCAUGGGGGAGAGACAGCACAGGACAGUGGCGGGGGGGGGUGCCACGGGGGGAGAG
This 350-nucleotide long non-coding RNA is filed under the name Mustela putorius furo (domestic ferret). RNAcentral's name for it is "lncRNA (ENSMPUG00000026249.1)". The record is from RNAcentral. Lineage: Eukaryota; Metazoa; Chordata; Mammalia; Carnivora; Mustelidae.